GUGAGGAAUAUUGCGCAAUGGAGGCAACUCUGACGCAGCCAUGCCGCGUGCAGGAAGAAGGCGCUACGCGUUGUAAACUGCUUUUAACCGGGAAGAAACCCCAGGACGUGUCCUGGGUUGACGGUACCGGAGGAAUAAGCACCGGCUAACUUCGUGCCAGCAGCCGCGGUAAUACGAAGGGUGCAAGCGUUAUCCGGAUUCAUUGGGUUUAAAGGGUGCGUAGGCGGGGCGUUAAGUCAGUGGUGAAAUCCUGCAGCUUAACUGUAGACUUGCCAUUGAUACUGGCGCUCUUGAGUGCGCUUGAAGUGGGCGGAAUGUGCCGUGUAGCGGUGAAAUGCUUAGAUAUGGCACAGAACACCAAUUGCGAAGGCAGCUCACUAAGGCGAUACUGACGCUGAGGCACGAAAGCGUGGGGAUCGAACAGGAUUAGAUACCCUAGUAGUCC
Molecule: ribosomal RNA, 445 nt
Filed under: uncultured bacterium
Lineage: Bacteria
Description: partial 16S ribosomal RNA
Rfam family: Bacterial small subunit ribosomal RNA
Source: RNAcentral